This 217-nucleotide ribosomal RNA is filed under the name Salmonella enterica. RNAcentral's name for it is "partial 16S ribosomal RNA". It matches the Rfam family "Bacterial small subunit ribosomal RNA", at positions 269 to 478 of the family's 1533-position model. The record is from RNAcentral. Lineage: Bacteria; Pseudomonadati; Pseudomonadota; Gammaproteobacteria; Enterobacterales; Enterobacteriaceae.
CAAGGCGACGAUCCCUAGCUGGUCUGAGAGGAUGACCAGCCACACUGGAACUGAGACACGGUCCAGACUCCUACGGGAGGCAGCAGUGGGGAAUAUUGCACAAUGGGCGCAAGCCUGAUGCAGCCAUGCCGCGUGUAUGAAGAAGGCCUUCGGGUUGUAAAGUACUUUCAGCGGGGAGGAAGGUGUUGUGGUUAAUAACCGCAGCAAUUGACGUUAC